CAUUACCCUGCCUCAGGAAAUUAUUACUAUAUAUUUUACAGCAGCUACAGUAGGUUGGGGAUCAGGAUUAGAACAUACUAACUACCGUGACAUUUAGCAGAACUCCUGUGCAUACAGUUAACCCUCACAGGGAUGGAAUGGAGCAAAUACAUGCUAGGAUGCACAUUCGGUUUAUAUUUUCACAGUUGAAAGAAAACAUAGGCGUCGACAAUUCUUUUUUAAUGGCAGUAGAUGUUGAGAUUCAAACAGUUAAAGCUUUGUAACCAUUCAAAUACAAAUUGUCAAAAUUCCAUGUCAAAAUAUGCAUAAUACAGACUAUAACAUGUACUCUGGAAGAAGCCUAUGAUUUCUGAUUGAGUUACAUCAUCUCGUCUUGAAAGACAUCCAGUCUUGAUAUAAAAAACCUCACCACAUCCCAAGUAACGCCUGAACCUGCACUGCUGUGACCAAGGUGACUCCAGGCAAUGCACAGUGAAUAAAAGGACUGAGACCCG
Molecule: long non-coding RNA, 494 nt
Organism: Malaclemys terrapin pileata
Lineage: Eukaryota; Metazoa; Chordata; Testudines; Emydidae
Exons: 3
Source: RefSeq, a predicted model, not a curated record